RNAcentral lists this long non-coding RNA (853 nucleotides) under Rosa chinensis. Its description in RNAcentral is "sRNA RchiOBHm_Chr2g0173861". Lineage: Eukaryota; Viridiplantae; Streptophyta; Magnoliopsida; Rosales; Rosaceae. The record is from RNAcentral.
UCUUUCUCUCUCUUCCGCCUCUCUUCCUCCAUCACACUCUCACACAGGCACAUCGCACAUAGAUCGAACUCCGAUAUGACCAGAUCAGACACCGAUCAAGACACCAAACGUUUCUAUAUGGAAGUCGUCAUCACCGGCGCUAUCAACAAGUGAUGGGUUCGUCAACACCGUCUUCUGGAUCCAGACCAUUCUCGGCCGAAGCUUAGGUCGGGUAUAGGGCCGACGAGAUCGGAAGAGUACGGCAUCCCCGAUGAAUAUCUUCGUAGAAAGACAACUGUAGUAAGGAGUAACUUGAAUCCAGUCUUGAAUGAGGAGCUCAUGUUGUCUGUUCCUUGGCGAUAUGGAGAAUUGAAGGCAUGGAGCUUUACAGUUGUUAACCUGAAGGUGGAUUAGCUUUUGGUUGCCUUGGAGGAGCAGGAGACUACUUUUCUCAAACAGUUUGAUCAAGCUCCAAAAAAGCUUUAGCCAAGUUCAUAAGUUCAAGAUUUACGGCAAGGAUUUACUACAGUUAAUCAGGAAGCUAAAGCAUUAUUAAGAAGAUACAGAUAUCGUACAGGAUCCAUAAGAAACUAAUAGAAAGCAUAUGAAAGUUGCUGGAGGUAGAGGUAGCAGAUGCAGCUAAGGGGAGGAACAUGAAGAGAUUUUUGUUUUUUUAUGUUGUAGUUUCGUUUUACUUUUAUGAAUUGUACAAUAUAUUUUAGAAAUAUAUAGUAUAUUUGAAGUUUUAUAUGAAUUGUACAAUAUAUUUUGAGUUAUUUUUUUUAUAUAUACUCCCAAUUUUGCCACUGAUGUUGGUGGCAUUAAGAAUACACACUGAUUCAGUAACAGUGGGAAGGGAAAAGGUAUCUUGCAG